This 253-nucleotide ribosomal RNA is filed under the name uncultured bacterium. Its description in RNAcentral is "partial 16S ribosomal RNA". It matches the Rfam family "Bacterial small subunit ribosomal RNA", at positions 524 to 776 of the family's 1533-position model. The record is from RNAcentral.
UACAGAGGGUGCGAGCGUUGUCCGGAAUCACUGGGCGUAAAGGGCGCGUAGGUGGCGACCCAAGUCCAUGGUGAAAGCUCGAUGCUCAACAUCGAGUCGGCCACGGAUACUGGGUUGCUGGAGCACUGUAGAGGCAGAUGGAAUUCCGGGUGUAGCGGUGGAAUGCGUAGAGGUCCGGAAGAACACCCGUGGCGAAGGCGGCUCUCUGGGACGGUACUGACGCUGAGACGCGAAAGCGUGGGGAGCGAACAGG